AAAACCAAAAAAAAAAAAAAAGAAGAUGAAA
Molecule: small RNA, 31 nt
Filed under: Arabidopsis thaliana (thale cress)
Lineage: Eukaryota; Viridiplantae; Streptophyta; Magnoliopsida; Brassicales; Brassicaceae
Description: ATSL120500
Source: RNAcentral